AUUGAACGCUGGCGGCAUGCCUUACACAUGCAAGUCGAACGGUAACAGGUUAAGCUGACGAGUGGCGAACAGGUGAGUAAUACAUCGGAACGUGCCCAGUAGUGGGGGAUAGCCCGGCGAAAGCCGGAUUAAUACCGCAUACGACCUAAGGGGGAAAGGGGGGGAUCGCAAGACCUCCCGCUAUUGGAGCGGCCGAUGUCAGAUUAGCUAGUUGGUGGGGUAAAAGCUCACCAAGGCGACGAACUGUAGCUGGUCUGAGAGGGCGACCAGCCACACUGGGAGUGAGACACGGCCCAGACUCAGACGGGAGGCAGGAGUGGGGAAUCUUAGACAAUGGGGGGAAGCCUGAUAGAGCCAUGCCGCGUGAGUGAUGAAGGCCUUAGGGAUGUAAAGCCCUCUCAGCUGGGAAGAGAAUGACGGUACCAGAAGAAGAAGCCCCGGCUAACUCCGUG
This 452-nucleotide ribosomal RNA is filed under the name uncultured bacterium. Its description in RNAcentral is "partial 16S ribosomal RNA". It matches the Rfam family "Bacterial small subunit ribosomal RNA", at positions 29 to 507 of the family's 1533-position model. The record is from RNAcentral.